UGGAUGAGUGGCGAACGGGUGAGUAACACGUGAGUAACCUGCCCCCUUCUUCUGGAUAACCGCAUGAAAGUGUGGCUAAUACGGGAUAUUCUGUGCCUGCUGCAUGGUGGGUGUGGGAAAGAUGCGCCUUUGGGUGUUUUUGGUGGGGGAUGGGCUCGCGGCCUAUCAGCUUGUUGGUGGGGUGAUGGCCUACCAAGGCGGUGACGGGUAGCCGGCCUGAGAGGGUGGACGGUCACACUGGGACUGAGACACGGCCCAGACUCCUACGGGAGGCAGCAGUGGGGAAUAUUGCACAAUGGGCGCAAGCCUGAUGCAGCGACGCCGCGUGAGGGAUGGAGGCCUUCGGGUUGUAAACCUCUUUCGCCAGUGAAGCAGGCCUGUCCCUUGUGGGUGGGUUGACGGUAGCUGGAUAAGAAGCGCCGGCUAACUACGUGCCAGCAGCCGCGGUAAUACGUAGGGCGCGAGCGUUGUCCGGAAUUAUUGGGCGUAAAGAGCUCGUAGGCGGCUGGUCGCGUCUGUCGUGAAAUCCUCUGGCUUAACUGGGGGCUUGCGGUGGGUACGGGCCGGCUUGAGUGCGGUAGGGGAGACUGGAACUCCUGGUGUAGCGGUGGAAUGCGCAGAUAUCA
This 626-nucleotide ribosomal RNA is filed under the name uncultured Actinomycetes bacterium. Its description in RNAcentral is "bacterial SSU rRNA". It matches the Rfam family "Bacterial small subunit ribosomal RNA", at positions 88 to 699 of the family's 1533-position model. Lineage: Bacteria; Bacillati; Actinomycetota; Actinomycetes. The record is from RNAcentral.